AUUGAACGCUGGCGGCAUGCCUUACACAUGCAAGUCGAACGGCAGCACGGGUGCUUGCACCUGGUGGCGAGUGGCGAACGGGUGAGUAAUACAUCGGAACGUACCUUAUCGUGGGGAUAACGCAGCGAAAGUUGCGCUAAUACCGCAUACGCCCUGAGGGGGAAAGCGGGGGACCGUAAGGCCUCGCGCGAUUAGAGCGGCCGAUGUCUGAUUAGCUUGUUGGUGAGGUAAAAGCUCACCAAGGCGAUGAUCAGUAGCUGGUCUGAGAGGACGAUCAGCCACACAGUGACUGAGACACGGCCCAGACUCCGACGGGAGGCAGCAGUGGGGAAUUUUGGACAAUGGGGGCAACCCUGAUCCAGCAAUGCCGCGUGAGUGAAGAAGGCCUUCGGGUUGUAAAGCUCUUUUGUCAGGGAAGAAACAGCAGCACUGACACAGUCUGCGAAUGACGGUACCUGAAGAAUAAGCACCGGAUAACUACGUGCCAGCCGCCGCCGUAA
Molecule: ribosomal RNA, 500 nt
Filed under: uncultured bacterium
Lineage: Bacteria
Description: partial 16S ribosomal RNA
Rfam family: Bacterial small subunit ribosomal RNA
Source: RNAcentral